UUGAGUUUGAUGAUGGCUCUGAAUGAACGCUGUCCAAAUGCUUGACACAUGCUAAUCGAACGACUAAUUUAAUUAUUAAAAUAAUGUAAUUAGUAGUGGUGUACAGGUGAGUAAAAGAUAAUAGAACUGCCUUGGAGCAAGGAAAAAAUUCCUUAUAUUAAUAAAGAAACUAAAGAAUCGCUCUUAGAAGUCUAGAUGUAUCUCGUGUAGUAGUAGUUAAGGUCAUUGCUUAACUAGAUUGAUACACGUAGUCGUAACUGGAAGGUUGAUCGACCACAGUGUGGCCUGCAUAAAGCCCACAAUUAUAUUACAGCAGUGAGGAAUAUUGGUCAAUAGCCUAACGGCUGAACCAGCAACUUGGAGGAAUGUAUAGCUAAAGCUAACUGUGUUUUGUAAAAAAUAUAGAUUCGAUUUAUUCGUAUAAAGUUCAAGGUAGAGUUUAUGAUAAUGACAUUUUCUAUCUAUAGUCUUGACCAACAUGCGUGCCAGCGGUCGCGGCAAGACGCUAAAGACAAGUGUUAUUCAUCUUUAAUAGGUUUAAAGCGUACCUAGACGGUAAAUCAAGCCUUAAUCGGGACUAAUUUAACUAGAGUUAGAUGUAAGGGUGCAUUAACGUACUGUUGAGUGUAGAGAUGAAAUUCUGUCAUACCAGAUGAUUGGCACGGGUUUAGGCGAAAGCAUCACCUUAUGUAAUAACUGACGUUGAAGGACGAAGGCUUUGUAUCGCGAACAGGAUUAGAUACCCCAGUAGUCUAAGCAGAAAAUGAUGAGUGUCAUAGGUUAAAUAUUAUUUAGUCUAUAAAUGAAAGUGUAAGCAUUCCACCUCAUGAGUAAUUUGGCAACAUUGGAAUUGAAAUCAUUAGACCGUUUCUGAAACCAGUAGUGAAGUAUGUUGUUUAAUUAGAUGAUACACAAAGAACCUUACCACAAUUUGAAUAUUUUUAUUUUACAAGCGUUGCACGGCUGUCUACAGUUAAUGUCGUGAGAUUCUGGUUAGUUCCAUUUAAUUAACGUAAACCCUUACUUUAUUUUAUUUAUAUAAAGUUGUUCGCCGCUAGAUUGGUAUUGAUAAAAGGGGGUAAGACAAGUCAUCAUGGCCUUAAUAUUGUGGGCUAUAGACGUGCCACAUAUGCCUAACAAAGGGAUGCUAAAUUGCAAAAUUAAGCUAAUCCUCCCUAAAUACGGAAAUAGAUGUCGUGGAUUGUAGUCUGUAAUUCGACUGCAUGAAAUAGGAAUUACUAGUAAUCGUGUAUAAGUAUGGCACGGUGAAUUAAAUCUCAGAUGGGUACUAACUACUCGUCAGGCGCUGAAAUUGGUAUGUGCAAUAAGUUGGGUUGGUGUUUCCUUAUAAUCUAGGUAAUUAGAUCUAGAAAUGGAAAUAAGUGAUCUUCGUAUGCGUGACCUUGAUUAGGGUUAAGUCGAAAUAUGGUUCGUGUAGUGGAAGUUGCACGGGAUUUAUAAUCAAUUAAAA
Molecule: ribosomal RNA, 1471 nt
Filed under: Leptogium hirsutum
Lineage: Eukaryota; Fungi; Ascomycota; Lecanoromycetes; Peltigerales; Collemataceae
Description: SSU rRNA
Rfam family: Bacterial small subunit ribosomal RNA
Source: RNAcentral